CACAACAGAAUUACAACAAAUGACGCGGAAUAGUUUUGUGUCAUCUGCAAAUUUCAGGAUGUUAGCAGCAGUAUGAUACGCAUUCAUCCUGUCCCGAAAAAGAGGGUCAGAAUGAGUGCGUAUCAUGCUUACUCCUUCAUUUGGUCGUUACUACCUGCCCGCUGUUGCCCUGAAAGAGGGACACGAUGAGUGCGUAUCAUGCUUACUCCUUCAUUUGUUCGUUAGUACCUGCCUGCUGCAGUUGGGUACCAAUGACUGGGUGCUCCCUCUCUCUUUGACUUUCUCUCUGCCCCAGGUUUCUUAUGUAGCGGGACAGCCUAAGGGUGUUGGUCUGGUUCACGCCUGCCUUCUGCUGCUGCGCAUCAUCGCGAUCAUCUUUCUUUCGCUCUUUUGGAAGAGGAGGACAGGAUCCGGGCUGGUGUUUUUUUCUUCCUCGCUCUUUUGGAACACCAAUAGUGUGUAGUUCCUAGUGGUGGGGCGAGUCCGUUAAAAGUCGGACUCAUACGAGUCCGUUGAUUUGAUGACGAAUCGAGCCCCCUGCUGGACUUGAGUCUAUUAGUAGAGUCAGUUCAAGCAAAAAGACUCGUCUUGCGAAAUCUGAAGAAAAAGAAUCAAUAUUUUUGAUUGACAAGUCCGGACUCGAUUUCGGCCAAUUUCUCUAAAAUCGAGUAAAAGUCUCGAGUGCUUUCAGGCUCGAGUCCGGACUCGCCCCAACAAUAGCACCCAACAAUAGCAGUUCCCUACUCUCUCUCUCUCUUUCUCUUUUUUUCUUUCUCUCGAAGCUUGUUUCGUAGAGAUUUAGACCGGGGUAUGUCGCUCAGGAUCCUCUCCAUAAGAAUGUUAUUGUUAUGAGGUUACCAUGGGGUCAAUGAACUAUGAUGUUUGGAAGCGCCUGUAAGAGUUGGAUGACCAAUGACGCUUCAUCCCCUUUCAUCAGUCACAUAAACCUUUUGAACUGACUGGUUGGGCAAAUACUUUGGCUAUUCUUCAAUCAUGGAAUCGUUCAUAGACCGUGCUCAAACUGAGCCUACUGUUGGUUUUGUGGAUUCAUUUUUGCACAAAUUGCCCCGUGAUUCUCGGUUUUCUCAAAGUCGAAUUAUUCCUAUAUAUUCAGCGAAUGCUCUAACUUCAAACCAAGACCAACUGACUUUUGUGAUACCAAAACAAACCGGUGGCAACACAAUUCAUUUGGCCAAUAUUAUAGUGGAGGUAGUAUAUUGCAACCAAUGCAUCAUGAAUGGUUUUGUUGCUUUUGGCAGGCUGGAAUUAAGCUCACAACUGCCUCUAGAAAUCCACCCAACAACUUCGAAACUGGUGGACCUGGAAUUGUAGCUAACAUUCUUCCCAGGUAAAGUUUAUGGUUCUCACCCCUAUGGAUUCAAUUAUUCAUUUUUAUACUUAUCCUUUUCUUUUACAGCAUGUUCAAGGAGGUCAGGUUGAUUGUAAACGGAACCCUUUUGAAUCCUCAGAGCGACAAUUGUCAGUUUGUCUCUUACUUGUCUUCAACAUUGUCUUACGGUAACGACGCUAAAAUGAACCAAAAGUGCAUGGAGGGCUAUUACCAGGCCAGGAUGAUCUCUCUGGCGGUGUGCAAUCAAAUGAUAUAAAUAACGCAGGCUUCAUGGAAAGACGUCAACGAUUUUUAACUAAAUCGAUUCCUCAAACAUAUAAAGCAUAUCCCUCAAUUUUUAUGGGCCAACUACAAACCGGCAUUUUUUCAAUGAGGAAGGCAUGCUACCUGAUGGCUGUGAUGUUACAAUCAUUUUUACCCAGACAAGCAUUUCCGUCCCACAUAGGAAAUGUGUGUUUAUGUGUGAUUUAAUGCUUUUUUCUACUUAGCUAAUGAAUUUCGAGCCUUUACCUCUGACGAGACGGAUGAUAUUGUGGUGACAUUGGUCUCACUCAAGCUGCAUGUAAAAAUAUCUGCCCUCAUGGUAAGCAUUGCUUUCAAUAUUUAGGUGUGGGCAAAAAGAGGACAGUUCUUACUUCAACUUUUUUUCACUUGUCCGUUCUUUUCAGCCCGAAUUGGUGAAUAAACUGGAAGAAAAAAUGAAGCGCGACAAUGCCAGACACUAUGCCAAACGUUUCACGACCACAUCUUCAAUUAUUGGGAAGAAUUCCGCAAUUUUUUGUAGUGAUAGUUUGUUCUCGAGGCACUCAAAUCCUCAAAAGAUCUACGUCUUUUUCAUUGAAGGUGAUAACUUUGUUGGAAGGAGAACAAAAAAUCCUUACAAGUUCUCCCGCAAAUGGCCGGCUGCGUCAGCUUUGACCACAACCAGAACAGACGGCAGACGGGAAGGGGCCAAUGAGCCUACAUCAACUGCAUUCAUCAAGGGUAUUCGGAUGACUAUCAAUGGUAAGUGCCGUGAUGGCAGGAGUGAGUUACAACCCUUGAUUUUGGGCCAUUGUCGUCUGCAGGUUCGCCCAUUGAUUCAAUGACGACCAAAGGGAGCGAGGAUGAUGAUGAGAUCGCGUUUGCCCGGUGGCAAAUUUUCAACACAUUUUUAGCUUCGCCUUUUACAUCCGGGAUAAGUUAUGAAGAUUUUAUGAAUGGAUGUUACGUUUGGUGUGCGGAUAUAAGGAAUGGGUUUAUAAUUUGUCAACUCAAAGCUAAAGCUGGUCAAUCAAUCUUCGAUUGUUCGAAGUGUUCAAAGGAAUUCAAUCUUCAUCUUUUGUGUUGCUUUUCAGUACCAGUCUCGAGAGCAAUUUUGACUACCUAAUUCCAACAGUCUUAGAUGGUAAGAAACGGUUAGAGGUUGAAUUCUCAGCUCCACUCGGUAAGUUGAUUUUACGGUACACACAAACGUACGUACGUGCACAUCCCUUCCAACAGCCAUCGCUUCUAAUCCACCUGGUCUCUCUCUCUCUCUCAUUUUCUCUCCAGGUGUAGAGCUAGUUAUGCUCACCAUUGGUAAGUAUUUAAUAAUGUGGGAAUCAUACUAUCUUCUACAAGUUUCUCCAAUUUCAUUUUUAUAGGUCAACACCCCAGCCUCAUCGAGAUUGGACGUGAUCGAUCCAUUUCGUUGUCUUAUCCCGUAUAAGAAGAAAACAACGACAAUUGACAAACGGGAAUUUAGUAAAAACACAUGAUUUUACAUGAUCUUCGUGGUUUUUAUUUAAUCGAUGUAAAACAAUCAGCAGUAGA
RNA transcript from Tigriopus californicus, 3145 nucleotides. RefSeq lists it as uncharacterized. The record is from RefSeq and is a predicted model, not a curated record. NCBI's taxonomy places the organism in Eukaryota, Metazoa, Arthropoda, Copepoda, Harpacticoida, Harpacticidae. The transcript has 4 exons.